RNAcentral lists this ribosomal RNA (274 nucleotides) under uncultured bacterium. RNAcentral describes it as "partial 16S ribosomal RNA". It matches the Rfam family "Bacterial small subunit ribosomal RNA", at positions 523 to 796 of the family's 1533-position model. The record is from RNAcentral.
AUACGGAGGGUGCGAGCGUUGUUCGGAAUCACUGGGCGUAAAGGGCGCGCAGGCGGUUUGUCAAGUCAGAUGUGAAAGGCCACGGCUCAACCGUGGAGGUGCAUCUGAAACUGGCAGACUUGAGUACCGGAGGGGAAAGUGGAAUUCCCGGUGUAGAGGUGAAAUUCGUAGAUAUCGGGAGGAACACCGGAGGCGAAGGCGACUUUCUGGACGGAUUCUGACGCUGAGGCGCGAAAGCGUGGGGAGCAAACAGGAUUAGAAACCCCAGUAGUCC